AGCCCUGUAGUCUAGUGGUCAAGGAUAUCAGGUUCUGGCCCUGAAGACCACGGUUCGAAUCCGUGCAGGGCUA
RNAcentral lists this transfer RNA (73 nucleotides) under Candidatus Woesearchaeota archaeon. RNAcentral's name for it is "tRNA-Gln". It matches the Rfam family "tRNA". From Rfam's summary of the family: Transfer RNA (tRNA) molecules are approximately 80 nucleotides in length. The record is from RNAcentral. Lineage: Archaea; Nanobdellati; Candidatus Woesearchaeota.